RNAcentral lists this ribosomal RNA (497 nucleotides) under uncultured bacterium. RNAcentral describes it as "partial 16S ribosomal RNA". It matches the Rfam family "Bacterial small subunit ribosomal RNA", at positions 28 to 507 of the family's 1533-position model. The record is from RNAcentral.
GAUGAACGCUGGCGGCGUGCCUAAUACAUGCAAGUCGAGCGAACAGACGAGGAGCUUGCUCCUCUGACGUUAGCGGCGGACGGGUGAGUAACACGUGGAUAACCUACCUAUAAGACUGGGAUAACUUCGGGAAACCGGAGCUAAUACCGGAUAAUAUAUUGAACCGCAUGGUUCAAUAGUGAAAGACGGUUUUGCUGUCACUUAUAGAUGGAUCCGCGCCGCAUUAGCUAGUUGGUAAGGUAACGGCUUACCAAGGCAACGAUGCGUAGCCGACCUGAGAGGGUGAUCGGCCACACUGGAACUGGGACACGGUCACAACUCCUACGGGAGGCAGCAGUAGGGAAUCUGCCGCAAUGGGCGAAAGCCUGACGGAACAACGCCGCGUGAGUGAUGAAGGUCUUCGGAUCGUAAAACUCUGUUAUUAGGGAAGAACAAAUGUGUAAGUAACUAUGCACGUCUUGACGGUACCUAAUCAGAAAGCCACGGCUAACUACGUG